GGCGGAUGUGCCCAAGUGGA
This 20-nucleotide transfer RNA is filed under the name Hedychium sp. ZSF03. RNAcentral's name for it is "partial tRNA-His". The record is from RNAcentral. Lineage: Eukaryota; Viridiplantae; Streptophyta; Magnoliopsida; Zingiberales; Zingiberaceae.